RNA transcript from Prunus dulcis (almond), 2114 nucleotides. RefSeq lists it as uncharacterized. Lineage: Eukaryota; Viridiplantae; Streptophyta; Magnoliopsida; Rosales; Rosaceae. The record is from RefSeq and is a predicted model, not a curated record. The transcript has 5 exons.
UCUCUCUCUCUCUCUCUCUCUCUCUCUCUCUCUCUCUCCAUAUCGCUAUCUCCCGUCAGUAAGCCCUUAAGCUUCCUCAACCAAAAAAUCUUCGAUCUUCACAUCGCUCUUUCCCCUCAACUGCCUCUAUGGAAGAGCGCCCUCUUCAUCGUCAGCAUCCUCUUCGUUGUCGGUGUCUUCUUCGUUGUUGGCAUCUUGGAUUACUGGGUUGCAAUUUCAAUUGGGGUUUGAGAUUAUUUUUCUCCAAUCGAAUGCUAUGAGUUCUCUAAGCUAAUCUUCUCUCUUCAUUUCUUCUUUGAUAGUUUUGUAGGUUUGUUGAGUAUAUAAAGAGUUUGACUAGUCUUAUCUUAUGUUCGACUUUCUCCCCUCCAAGGAAGAUUCAGAGGUUCUAGGUAUUGCUAAUAGUAAAGAUAUUUUGCUGCAUCUAUUUUGAAAGGAAAGAUUUUAGCUUUGGGUUCAUUUGGAAUAUUACAUGAAUAUCAAGUUCAAGCUCAAUUGCGAGAACAUCAUCUGAAGGGGUGAGAUCAGAACUUGUGUAAACCAGAUUUGUUGUCAUGACCAUUAGUGGAACUUGGAUUUUAACUUUAGAUAACACAAUAAUUAUACGUGAUUAUUUAUAUAAUUUUGUUAGGUUGUAUUUAGGAUCAAUGUCACGUUUGUAAAGAAUUUCCCUAUCUACAGUUUUUAGUUUCUUUCUCACUCAAAAAACUAAUAGAUGCCGAAGUUGAGAUACUAUACUAAGCUUAGUUGUGUUACUGUAUUUUGACUUUAACCCUUUUCUUCCUCUAGGUUAUUAAUGAUGGCACGGGCUGCAUAUGUUGAAUUAAUUGUCGGUUGUCAUUUACUGCUUUAUUGUGCAAGUCUUAGGCUUUAACUCAUAAAUUUUCCCUAGGAUUGAAGGCUUUGUCAAGUUGAAUUCUAUUGUGUAUGUAUGUUUAUGUCAUUUUUCUGCUUUCUUGGUUUAAGUCUUAGACUUGCACUCUUUAAGUAUUCCUUAGAAAUAGAGGCUUUGUUGAGUUGAAUUCAUUGGAUCUGUUUGCUGCUUCUAUACUAUGUUGAACUUUAUUAGUAUGGUAUAUUGUCAAUAAUAAUUUGUCAUUUCUAGCAGUCAUGGUCACCUAUGAUAUUAGACAUUGCCCGGAAGGCUUUUCUCCAUAGUGUACGCCACUUUCUUAUUUUAAAUAUGUGAAGUAGAAAUUGUUUCCAUUGAAUAUGGAUUGUUAUGCUAUGAGGAUGGAUAAAUUUGUACCUUACCAAGCAGAUGUAAGGGGCUUUAUUGCAGCUUAUGCAAAAGCAGUAAAAAACAUAACCUAUUUCUUGUUGUCUAUGAAUUUAGUGGUGCUACAAAUGAAGUGGUGCUCUAUUUUGAAAAUACCAAUUCUCAAGCAGCAAACAGUAAAAGGUCUAGAUGCAGCAUUUAUUGGACCCAAUGAAAAUCAAUUUGCAGUUCUUGAUGAUGAUAAGAUUGGACUGGUUUUUAUAUAUUUUGCCUGAAAAAGUUCUCUGGAAGCUAAUGAAAAGAAUCUAUUGUCUGAAGAGAGCCAACCUGUGGAAAUAGAUGGAUUGUGACAAGGCGGCAUUUGGUGUUGCAGCUCCACAAGGCAAAUAAAGGAACUAAGAAGUACGUUGAGUUCCUUCACCUUCCCUUUGGUGUUUUAAUUCUUUUCUUUUUUGGCUAUUUUUCAGACCAUGAAAUGUGCAGACUUUGUUUGAGAGUAAAUGUGCUAAGAUCAUGGAUGAAGUUUGGGAGUUUGGGUUCAAGCCUUGAACAGAGUAUGACUUUCAGAGGAAUAAACACAUGGGGAAACAUAUCGGUUUACUUGAUUUUGAGUGUCUUAAAUUUUGAGCUAGACAGAAGGACACGUACACCCAAAUGCAAUUGGACGAGGUGCAAGAAGAAUUGGCAACUCAUGUCCUAGAGGGGCUUUUUUUUAUUGAACUAAACAUUCCUCCUUCAUUUUACUUGUCUUUUUGGCUAGUAUUUUGCUUAUGUAUAGACAAGCAUGGAUCAUUUGUGGUGUGGGGUUGCAAAAAUUGUGAUUUGGAUGUGACAAGUAUGGAUGUAUUUAAAUUAAUAUAUAUAUAUAUAUAUAUACACAGUCCCCUUCUAUUGA